RNAcentral lists this transfer RNA (87 nucleotides) under Vibrio vulnificus. RNAcentral describes it as "tRNA-Leu". It matches the Rfam family "tRNA". From Rfam's summary of the family: Transfer RNA (tRNA) molecules are approximately 80 nucleotides in length. Their secondary structure includes four short double-helical elements and three loops (D, anti-codon, and T loops). Lineage: Bacteria; Pseudomonadati; Pseudomonadota; Gammaproteobacteria; Vibrionales; Vibrionaceae. The record is from RNAcentral.
GCCCUGGUGGUGAAAUUGGUAGACACAAGGGAUUUAAAAUCCCUCGACUUUCGAGUCGUGUCGGUUCAAGUCCGGCCCGGGGCACCA